AUUGAACGCUGGCGGCAGGCCUAACACAUGCAAGUCGAACGGUAACAGGAAACAGCUUGCUGUUUCGCUGACGAGUGGCGGACGGGUGAGUAAUGUCUGGGAAACUGCCUGAUGGAGGGGGAUAACUACUGGAAACGGUAGCUAAUACCGCAUAACGUCGCAAGACCAAAGAGGGGGACCUACGGGCCUCUUGCCAUCAGAUGUGCCCAGGUGGGAUUAGCUAGUAGGUGGGGUAACGUCUCACCUAGGCGACGAUCACUAGCUGGUCUGAGAGGAUGACCAGCCACACUGGAACUGAGACACGGUCCAGACUCCUACGGGAGGCAGCAGUGGGGAAUAUUGCACAAAGGGCGCAAGCCUGAUGCAGCCAUGCCGCGUGUAUGAAGAAGGCCUUCGGGUUGUAAAGUACUUUCAGCGGGGAGGAAGGGAGUAAAGUUAAUACCUUUGCUCAUUGACGUUACCCGCAGAAGAAGCACCGGCUAACUCCGUG
This 490-nucleotide ribosomal RNA is filed under the name uncultured bacterium. Its description in RNAcentral is "partial 16S ribosomal RNA". It matches the Rfam family "Bacterial small subunit ribosomal RNA", at positions 30 to 507 of the family's 1533-position model. The record is from RNAcentral.